Molecule: long non-coding RNA, 2539 nt
Organism: Musa acuminata AAA Group (dessert banana)
Lineage: Eukaryota; Viridiplantae; Streptophyta; Magnoliopsida; Zingiberales; Musaceae
Exons: 3
Source: RefSeq, a predicted model, not a curated record
UCUCCUCUCACCUCUCCGCCUCCUCCUCCUCCUCCUCCAUCUUUCUCCGCAGCCGAACUCUCUUGUGGUGAUUCCUUAGAUUUCAUGAUGGCAUAGACGAUAGCAAGAUCGUGGACAUGCUUUCCACAGGCUUUCUUGAACUGUGAACUCUCCGUGGUCCUUUUUCGCUUCCUUGAUCCUUUCUUCCCGAGGAAGAACUCCAAGGAAGAAGAAGAGGAGGAGGAGGAGGGGAUGGUGACCGCCGUUGAUAGUUCAAGAAAGCCCGUGGAAACCGUGACAGAUCUUUCCGAGUCUUGGACGUAGGUUUUGUAUGAUUUCUUCCGCUCGCUGAAUUAGUGUGUUCUGUGUUGAUUGGGUGGGAAUCGUACUGGAACAACUGAUUACAUGUUUCACAUAUCCCAAUUGUGCGAUUGCCUGUUAUGAAUCGAUUGAAUUCUGAUUUAAGUAGUUGUUUUCCUCAUCUGGAAGAUGCUUUCUUUUGAGAUCUUGCCUUCUUUGAUAAGCAACUGGUCUUGUUUUUGUUGCAGAAUUGGAGAAUACGGAGCAAAAAGCCCCAGAAGCAUUGUAGGAUUCAGCAAGGCUGAGAUGAUGUGUGCACUAAAAGGUUGCCAGAAGUCAAACCAAGCUUCAUGCUGCUCCACUCCAACUAUUGACAUGUUCCAUGAAACAAGAAAUUAAAUCCAGGCAAUGGCAGUAUCUUUGAUGGCUUUGAAGAAGAAUAGCCAGAACACAAGGCAGAUGGAUCAAUUUAUUGUGGACUCAAUGCUUAUGGUGCAAAAUGCUAGUUUUUAUUUUGAGACAAAGGACCAGCGACCAUUCCAGCUCAGAGAUGAAAAGGCAGGACAGUAAGGAGUGCCAUCUCAGUUGUGGGAGGACUUGGUGGGGAUACUGUGGCACCAAGAGACAAGAUACAGCAAGAUGGCACAAUUUCAUAGCUGAAAACCUCAACAUACAUAUACCUACAUUAUCUGUUCGUCUUUCGUGACACAUACUUGGCUUCUAACUCGAACAAAGAUCCAUUGCUCACUAACAGCAGGUUUACAUUUUUGGCUCCAGGAGGAGGAAGAAGAGAGAUUAAUUAUUUUGGAUGGAUUGUGGAUUCGAUUCGAGAAUCCCAUGUAUAGCGGAAUCUCGUGAACGCGGAUUGUAAUUAAAUCCAGGGGAUGGCAGUGUCUUUGAUGGCUUUGAAGAAGAAUAGACAGAACACAAGGCAGAUGGAUCAAUUUAUUGUGGACUCAAUGCUUAUGGUGCAAAGUGCAAGUUUUUUGUUUUUGUGAGACAGAGGACCAGCGACCAUUCCAGCUCAGAGAUGAAAAUGCAGGACAGUAAGGAGUGCCAUCUCAAUCGUGGGAGGACAUGGUGGGGAUACUGUGGCACCAAGAGACAAGAUACAGCAAGAUGGCACAUUUCCAUAGCUGAAAACCUCAACAUACAUGUACAUGCAUUAUCUGUUCGUCUUUCCUGACUCAUACUUAGCUUCUAACUCGAACAAAGAUCCAUUGCUCACUAACAGCAGGUUUACAUUUUGGCUCCAGGAGGAGGACGAAGAGAGAUUAAUUAUUUUGGAUCAAUGACAUAUGAUCAAAUUAAUGGAUUCGAUUCGAGAAUCCCAUAUAUAUAGCGGAAUCUCGUGAACGGGGAUUGUAAUGGUGAUCCGAUGGUCCAAAGCCGGGAUGAAUCGGUAAAAAGAUCCACCCUACUUGCGCAGGGUCGAUGGGCGAAUCGCUCGAAUAACGGCAUCCGCGUCUUGAUUUCCUUUCUCUUCCCUCGUUUGGUCAUCCCACUUGAUAUCGGCCUCAACCUCACCUGAGAAGAUCAUGGCCGAGGAUAUAUGGUAUGCGAAGCUAUCUACACCUCCAUUCGCUGUUCUCUUUCAACUUCCAUGUGGUCAUCGUGGUUCCUGGAUGAUUGAUACGUACCUCCUUCCUUGUGUGCUUCUAGGAUUGGAGGAUCGGGCAUGGAAUAAGGUGCAAAGUUAGGGUUUGUACUCGUGUCUCACUGAUGAUGCAAAUAUAUCGAUAAUUCUGGCUGGUUUAUUGCCCUUCCUAAAUCUUAUCCAAGGAACGUAGUAGAUCUUAAUAUUUCACUUUCUUUUUGUUGGCGAAAUCAGUUUUCCGGCUUCAAUGAUGGUAUUUCUUAUGCUCUUUCCUCCUUCCAAGUCUUCUUUUCAUUCAAAUAUUACAUGGCAAACAUGUUUGAUGUUUAUACAACAACACUCUGACUAAACUAAAAUAUCUCUUUUAAGAGAUUUUCCGAAUCUUAAUGCGUUGACAAGAAUAAUUCAGGAUGCACAUGUUGUGACCUCACUGAUAGCUGUGACCACCAUACCUGCAAGUGUUGAUACCCAGGGACACAUUAUUAUUAUUAUUAUUAUUAUUAUUAUUAUUAUUAUUAUUUCAAAUCAGGUCUACUGACUCUUGAAGUGUGCCCUGUCUACAGGUGAUUAUUCUGUAAAAGCUCGAUAACUAUUCUUGCAGUAUGAAGUGUAGAAUUGGAGUAGUCGGGAUCGAGUUGCCCUCACGCAUAGCCGGCGUGGGGC